UUAGUAGCCUAAUUGAACAGGCGAGCCAGUGCACGAGCUCCCAUUGUGCCCAGCGCUCAAACGUCAUGCCCACGUGCGCCAGAAGAGGUCCAGUUGCAUCUGUAGAUGCGACAGAAAACAAACGACCGCUUAUGUCGCUGUGUGAUUAACCGUGCAAAGCAGCUUGUUUGGAAGUCCUCAACACACACAGGGAGAAGAAGAAUUUGGAUUUCGGCCAAUGCAUACUAAUACUAAAGUGUGUCCUUCAUUUGGGCCCUGCUAUGUUGAGGUGUGUCAGC
Long non-coding RNA from Salvelinus fontinalis (brook trout), 278 nucleotides. RefSeq lists it as uncharacterized. The transcript has 3 exons. Lineage: Eukaryota; Metazoa; Chordata; Actinopteri; Salmoniformes; Salmonidae. The record is from RefSeq and is a predicted model, not a curated record.